RNAcentral lists this ribosomal RNA (84 nucleotides) under uncultured eukaryote. RNAcentral's name for it is "partial small subunit ribosomal RNA". The record is from RNAcentral.
UCGCUCCUACCGAUUCCGAGUGAUGAGGUGAACCUUUCGGACUGCAAAGGAAGUUAAGUAAACCUUAUCACUUAGAGGAAGGAG